ACGGAGGGUGCAAGCGUUAUCCGGAUUCACUGGGUUUAAAGGGUGCGUAGGUGGCUAUUUAAGUCAGUGGUGAAAGCCCGCGGCUCAACCGUGGAAUUGCCAUUGAAACUGAGUAGCUUGAGUACAGUUGAAGUGGGCGGAAUACAUCAUGUAGCGGUGAAAUGCUUAGAUAUGAUGUAGAACACCGAUUGCGAAGGCAGCUCACUAAGCUGUAACUGACACUGAGGCACGAAAGCGUGGGUAGCGAACAGGA
This 253-nucleotide ribosomal RNA is filed under the name uncultured prokaryote. RNAcentral describes it as "partial 16S ribosomal RNA". It matches the Rfam family "Bacterial small subunit ribosomal RNA", at positions 525 to 777 of the family's 1533-position model. The record is from RNAcentral.